Molecule: ribosomal RNA, 403 nt
Filed under: uncultured bacterium
Lineage: Bacteria
Description: partial 16S ribosomal RNA
Rfam family: Bacterial small subunit ribosomal RNA
Source: RNAcentral
GACGAACGCUGGCGGCGUGCCUAAUACAUGCAAGUCGAACGCAGUGGGGACGGGUGAGUAACACGUGGGUAACCUCCCAUCAGAGGGGAUAACACUUGGAAACAGGUGCUAAACCGAUACUGAUGGAUGGACCCGCGGUGCAUUAGCUAGUUGGUGGGGUAACGGCUCACCAUGGCCACGAUGCAUAGCGGGCCUGAGAGGAUGAGCAGCCACACUGGGAACGAGAAACGGCCCAGACUCCUACGGGAGGCCGGAGUGGGGAAUUUUCGGCAAUGGGCGAAAGUCUGAUCCAGCCAUGCCGCGUGAGUGAAGAAGGCUUUCGGAUUGUAAAAUACUUUUGGUAGAGAAGCGGUAUCUAACCAGAAAGCCACGGCUAACUACGUGCCAGCAGCCGCGGUAAUUC